GGGUCGGUAGCUCAGUUGGUAGAGCAGCGGACUUUUAAUCCGAAGGUCGUGGGUUCGAGUCCCACCCGGCCCACCA
This 76-nucleotide transfer RNA is filed under the name Chloroflexota bacterium. RNAcentral describes it as "Chloroflexi bacterium tRNA-Lys". It matches the Rfam family "tRNA". Rfam says of the family: Transfer RNA (tRNA) molecules are approximately 80 nucleotides in length. Their secondary structure includes four short double-helical elements and three loops (D, anti-codon, and T loops). Lineage: Bacteria; Bacillati; Chloroflexota. The record is from RNAcentral.